RNAcentral lists this ribosomal RNA (610 nucleotides) under uncultured bacterium. RNAcentral's name for it is "bacterial SSU rRNA". It matches the Rfam family "Bacterial small subunit ribosomal RNA", at positions 338 to 1433 of the family's 1533-position model. The record is from RNAcentral.
CCUACGGGAGGCAGCAGUGGGGAAUUUUCCGCAAUGGGCGAAAGCCUGACGGAGCAAUACCGCGUGAGGGAAGACUGCCUAUGGGUUGUAAACCUCUUUUUUCAGGGAGGAAUAAAAUGACGUGUACCUGAAGAAUAAGCAUCGGCUAACUCCGUGCCAGCAGCCGCGGUAAGACGGAGGAUGCAAGUGUUAUCCGGAAUCACUGGGCGUAAAGCGUCUGUAGGUGGUUUAAUAAGUCAACUGUUAAAUCUUGAGGCUCAACUUCAAAACCGCAGUCGAAACUAUUAGACUAGAGUAUAGUAGAGGUAAAGGGAAUUUCCAGUGGAGCGGUGAAAUGCGUAGAUAUUAGAAAGAACACCGAUGGCGAAAGCACUUUACUGGGCUAUUACUAACACUCAGAGACGAAAGCUAGGGUAGCAAAUGGGAUUAGAUACCCCAGUAGUCCUAGCCGUAAACUAUGGAUACUAGAUGUUGAACAGAUCGACCUGUGCAGUAUCAAAGCUAACGCGUUAAGUAUCCCGCCUGGGAAGUNUGCUCGCAGAGUAGAACGUACAAUAGAAGUUAGACGGCGUGAGACGUCGCCGAACGGACGACGACGAGGGGAGGUAGG